RNAcentral lists this ribosomal RNA (107 nucleotides) under uncultured Methanospirillum sp. RNAcentral's name for it is "partial 16S ribosomal RNA". Lineage: Archaea; Methanobacteriati; Methanobacteriota; Methanomicrobia; Methanomicrobiales; Methanospirillaceae. The record is from RNAcentral.
GUGAUAAGGAACCCCGAGUGCCAGCACAGGCUGGCUGUCCACCAGUGUAAAUAACUGGUGAAGAAAGGGCCGGGCAAGACCGGUGCCAGCAGCCGCGGUAAUAAUAA